Molecule: long non-coding RNA, 506 nt
Organism: Zophobas morio
Lineage: Eukaryota; Metazoa; Arthropoda; Insecta; Coleoptera; Tenebrionidae
Exons: 4
Source: RefSeq, a predicted model, not a curated record
CUCUUUUUCGCCUUGACUGUUUGUGUUCUCGUUUUUAUUUUGAGCUAAGAGACUUUCCGUCUGACCUCACAGAGGCGAUUAAGAAAAAAGGAGAAAUAAGCAUCUACCAUGAAAUACGUCGCUGCUUAUCUACUUGCAUCUCUUUCCGGUAAAGAGCCAAGCGCUGAAGUUAUAAAAGCUAUUUUUGGCUCUGUGGGAAUCGAUUAUGAUGAAAGUUUAUUAUCUCAUGUUUUUUCUCAAUUGAAGGGUAAAGCAAUAAAUGACGUUAUAGCUGAAGGUUCGUUAAGGCUUGCUUCAUUUUCCGUAGGCGCUUCUAGUACAGGUGCUGAGAAAGCAGCUAGUUCGCCUGCUUCAGCGGAGGCCGCUGUAGAAGAAAAAGAAGAAGAAACUAAGAAAUCUGAAGAUGAAUUUGAAGGUGGCCUUUCACUAUUCGGCGAUGACGAUGAUGAUUUGUUUUAACUUGAUUUAAUUGUAUAGAAUAAUAAAACAUCCUCUAUCCGUGUUAA